Mus musculus (house mouse) is the source of this 614-nucleotide long non-coding RNA. RefSeq annotates it as predicted gene, 39353. The record is from RefSeq and is a predicted model, not a curated record. NCBI's taxonomy places the organism in Eukaryota, Metazoa, Chordata, Mammalia, Rodentia, Muridae. The transcript is spliced from 4 exons.
GCACCUUCCUGGGGCAGUGCUGGUGGUGCUGGGGUCGGAUAGAGGGCAGGCAGGGGCCUUACCUAUGAGAACACUGGCUUCAUUUACACAGCAAGCUUGGUUUCAAUGGCUCCAAUUACCCAUUCAUCCGUGCCUCUGCUGAGCACCGUAACCUGCAACCUCCGGUUGCCACUGUGGAUUUGGUAGGCCUUACCUCCGUGGUGGACUGCCGGCUGUCUUCUUAUCGGUGCUGUGCCCCCAGCACACACCUAAGGCUUUCUUCACAGCAGCACUUGAUCAAGACAGAAUAAAAUUCCAUUGUGUAUCGGGACCACAUUUUCAUUAUCCUGUCCCCGGCUGACGGACAUCUAGGCUGGUUUCAUUUCCUGGCUAUUGUGACUACAGCAGCAAAGCUUCAUGGGUAGCUGCUUCAAGUUCCGGCCGCUGUGACUGCUCAGCUAGGAUGGACUGUAACCUGGAAAGAGAGAAGAGAGUCCUGGUUGAGAGGGUAAGAAGGAGGAAUCCACACACCAUUGUCCCUUUAACACUCUGACUACAGCCAGACUCCAGACACAUGGAAGCAAGAGAACCUGUGGGAAGCAGCCCUUCACUCUUCUACCGGGUUAGACAGCCAG